Molecule: ribosomal RNA, 442 nt
Filed under: uncultured bacterium
Lineage: Bacteria
Description: bacterial SSU rRNA
Rfam family: Bacterial small subunit ribosomal RNA
Source: RNAcentral
GGGGAUCGCAAGACCUUGCGCUUUUGGAGCGGCCGAUGUCUGAUUAGCUAGUUGGUGGGGUAAAGGCUUACCAAGGCGACGAUCAGUAGCUGGUCUGAGAGGAUGRCCAGCCACACUGGGACUGAGACACGGCCCAGACUCCUACGGGAGGCAGCAGUGGGGAAUUUUGGACAAUGGGCGCAAGCCUGAUCCAGCAAUGCCGCGUGAGUGAAGAAGGCCUUCGGGUUGUAAAGCUCUUUCAGUUGAGAAGAAAAGAACGUGAAUAAUACGCGCGUUUUAUGACGGUAUCAACAGAAGAAGCACCGGCUAACUACGUGCCAGCAGCCGCGGUAAUACGUAGGGUGCGAGCGUUAAUCGGAAUUACUGGGCGUAAAGGGUGCGCAGGCGGUUCUGAAAGUCAGAUGUGAAAUCCCUGGGCUUAACCUAGGAAUUGCGUUUGAAA